This 253-nucleotide ribosomal RNA is filed under the name uncultured prokaryote. RNAcentral describes it as "partial 16S ribosomal RNA". It matches the Rfam family "Bacterial small subunit ribosomal RNA", at positions 524 to 776 of the family's 1533-position model. The record is from RNAcentral.
UACGGAGGAUCCAAGCGUUAUCCGGAUUCAUUGGGUUUAAAGGGUGCGUAGGCGGACUGAUAAGUCAGCGGUGAAAUCUCCUCGCUCAACGAGGAAACUGCCGUUGAUACUGUCGGUCUUGAAUGCAGAUGAUGUGGGCGGAAUAUGACAUGUAGUGGUGAAAUACUUAGAUAUGACAUAGAACACCAAUUGCGAAGGCAGCUUACUACACAGUGAUUGACACUGAGGCACGAAAGCGUGGGGAUCAAACAGG